UUUGGUCAGAAACUGAACUCUUGACACUAUCAUAUAUUCCCCUCAAGUUUUGCCGGCUGGUUUCAGCAUGUGUUUGUGAAGCUUGACACGUGGUGUGAGGUUAUUGGUUUUCAUGGAUCUCACUGCAUGCACUGUUUUUUUUCUUUCUAUUACUAAUACUUUUGUUCCUAUUUUACCUUCGAAUAAACUAGCCUUUUUAUUAUCAA
Molecule: long non-coding RNA, 206 nt
Filed under: Capsella rubella
Lineage: Eukaryota; Viridiplantae; Streptophyta; Magnoliopsida; Brassicales; Brassicaceae
Description: long non-coding RNA (CRUB_LNC002638)
Source: RNAcentral